AGAGUUUGAUCCUGGCUCAGGAUGAACGCUAGCGACAGGCUUAACACAUGCAAGUCGAGGGGCAGCACAGGUAGCAAUACCGGGUGGCGACCGGCGCACGGGUGAGUAACGCGUAUGCAACUUACCUAUCAGAGGGGGAUAACCCGGCGAAAGUCGGACUAAUACCGCAUGAAGCAGGGGCCCCGCAUGGGGAUAUUUGCUAAAGAUUCAUCGCUGAUAGAUAGGCAUGCGUUCCAUUAGGCAGUUGGCGGGGUAACGGCCCACCAAACCGACGAUGGAUAGGGGUUCUGAGAGGAAGGUCCCCCACAUUGGUACUGAGACACGGACCAAACUCCUACGGGAGGCAGCAGUGAGGAAUAUUGGUCAAUGGGCGUAAGCCUGAACCAGCCAAGUCGCGUGAGGGAUGAAGGUUCUAUGGAUCGUAAACCUCUUUUAUAAGGGAAUAAAGUGCGGGACGUGUCCCGUUUUGUAUGUACCUUAUGAAUAAGGAUCGGCUAACUCCGUGCCAGCAGCCGCGGUAAUACGGAGGAUCCGAGCGUUAUCCGGAUUUAUUGGGUUUAAAGGGUGCGUAGGCGGCCUUUUAAGUCAGCGGUGAAAGUCUGUGGCUCAACCAUAGAAUUGCCGUUGAAACUGGGGGGCUUGAGUAUGUUUGAGGCAGGCGGAAUGCGUGGUGUAGCGGUGAAAUGCUUAGAUAUCACGCAGAACCCCGAUUGCGAAGGCAGCCUGCCAAGCCAUGACUGACGCUGAUGCACGAAAGCGUGGGGAUCAAACAGGAUUAGAUACCCUGGUAGUCCACGCAGUAAACGAUGAUCACUAGCUGUUUGCGAUACAGUGUAAGCGGCACAGCGAAAGCGUUAAGUGAUCCACCUGGGGAGUACGCCGGCAACGGUGAAACUCAAAGGAAUUGACGGGGGCCCGCACAAGCGGAGGAACAUGUGGUUUAAUUCGAUGAUACGCGAGGAACCUUACCCGGGUUUGAACGCAUUCGGACCGAGGUGGAAACACCUUUUCUAGCAAUAGCCGUUUGCGAGGUGCUGCAUGGUUGUCGUCAGCUCGUGCCGUGAGGUGUCGGCUUAAGUGCCAUAACGAGCGCAACCCUUGCCACUAGUUACUAACAGGUAAAGCUGAGGACUCUGGUGGGACUGCCAGCGUAAGCUGCGAGGAAGGCGGGGAUGACGUCAAAUCAGCACGGCCCUUACAUCCGGGGCGACACACGUGUUACAAUGGCGUGGACAAAGGGAUGCCACCUGGCGACAGGGAGCGAAUCCCCAAACCACGUCUCAGUUCGGAUCGGAGUCUGCAACCCGACUCCGUGAAGCUGGAUUCGCUAGUAAUCGCGCAUCAGCCAUGGCGCGGUGAAUACGUUCCCGGGCCUUGUACACACCGCCCGUCAAGCCAUG
Molecule: ribosomal RNA, 1400 nt
Filed under: Parabacteroides sp. D26
Lineage: Bacteria; Pseudomonadati; Bacteroidota; Bacteroidia; Bacteroidales; Tannerellaceae
Description: bacterial SSU rRNA
Rfam family: Bacterial small subunit ribosomal RNA
Source: RNAcentral